UUCAAUCUAUACUUGGUAACUAGAAUGGAGAGAUUUUCAAAUGAGUUAUGUAUAUAGCGUUAUUGAUCAUCGAUGUCAUCCAAUACAAAAUUAAGCAGAAUGGACAGGGAUUCUUGUUGUAAUGGUUUUCCGUUUCAACUAAUUUUAUGAAUUUGGAUUAUACAUGUAUAUUGGCAGCUUUGUUGAAGUAGAAGAACAACCAAGGUUGAGCUCGGAGAAACUUCAGAGGCUGGGUUUGAGUUUCCGACCAUUGAAAGAGACGCUUACUGGCUCAGUUGAAAGCUACAAAGAGGCUGGACUGCUCUGAUACCGAAAACAUCUCAGAGCGUGCUCUACGAAUCUAACUACAUUGUUUGAAGUUACACAUCCCACGAUGGAAGAGGAAAAUUUGGCUUAAUUUGUUGCAGUGCCGUUUAGGUUGGUGGAGUCCAAACAUAUAUGUCAGUUUUCUGUCUUAUAGCUACCGCCCAGUGAUAGUUGCCAAAUAAUAUUUCAUCUUUUUGUGUUUGUUGAGAAAACAAUGUUUUGGUUUUGGCCUUUAUGAUCUUACUCAUUCGACUUGUUCAAAUGGAAAUAAGCUAUUGACGGAUAUUUCUCAGGUUCUAGAAUAUGAGUCCCUUGGGGUCCCAGAUUAGGUGUUUAUUGUUUGGAGUUGCUUGAAGGUGUGGAAUAAUAGUCACUCGCAUUGGGCAUCUUAUAAAACAAACUAAAAUUUACAUGAAAUGGUUUCAUUUUUAAUUGCGUUAGUGACAACCCCCUCACUUAUUGGACAAAUGAAUAAGUUUGAGAUAGUAUUAGUGUUUAUUGAAUUGCACAAGUGAUUAAGUUUGAGACAAUAUUAGCGUGAUUAAUAGUGGACUGGUUGCUCCACUCUCAAAAAUCUUAACAUAAGGGUCAUGGUCUAGCACUUACUAGUCUUAGCUCAUCACGUCGCAUGUACACCUCGAUCAUGUCUAAUUAAUUAGAUGAAAAUACACCAAUGAAUAAGAGUCCCUUAUUUAGUGAAAUUAUUUUUCUAAUUAUGUUUUAAUAGUGAUGGUGAUCCGGUAAAAUGCUUUGGAUAUUAUUUCAAUCAGAAUCUUCCGUUGAUGUUAAUGUUAAACAGUAAUACGUAAAUGAUGACAAAGACAUGCCAACUAGCCAUAGCCGGAGACAUGAGCUCGUUACCUAUCAUUUUUUAACACCCUCAUAGACCUAUCAUUAGUUUUGCAGUUAUUUGUGUUUUUUAGUUGGGGUUUAUUGAAAAAUUGCUUGAUUGGUUGGGGGUUUAAGAAGUCAAAUUUGGAGAUUGGUAGGGUAACACUUUCUUGUGAGAUUGUGUCGCAACAGUAGUCUGGAAAAUGAUUUCAACAUUUAUUUUUUCUUGUUGGAUUCUUCUAUUUAUUUGUGUUUUUUAAUUCUCAUUUAAUUAAUUAGUCAUAGAUAACUAUGAGUUUAUGUGGACGUGAAAAUUUGAAUGGGACCAUGAAGUAUCUAUAUGGUGCAGUAUAUAUCUUGACAAAUCAAUGCUUUAGGUGGUAGGCUUUAUAAAAUGUAUUCAGAGUCAUGCAAGUGACAAACAUUGACUUUGUGUUUGCCGAAAAAGUGAUGUACGUAGUAAAUAGUGAAAGGCAAUCUUGACUCGUUUUGUGGACGGUGGAAAUCUUAGCUUGCAAACCGAGUGUCAACACAAUAUGGCCAAAGUUUUAAGUGAAAUCGGGUAUAUAUUUUCUGUUUUAUUCUAACUAGGUUAUGUGCAUGUGUACAUGUGUAAUUGAUUGAACGUUUAUCUACCAAAAAAAUUUAGUCACUAGAGAGAAAAACAAAGAAAAAAAACUCAUCGCCUUGUAUCCUAAAGCCAAAGGCAAGGAUCGUCGGUAAUCCCUCUUGGUCCCUUCCAUUUAUUUCCCAUGUUUCUUCUAUCUUCUAAUCAUCUUUGUCUCUUAUUUUAUGUAGUGUACGGGAAUAAAUGGCUGGUUGGAUCUUCUCAUUUAUCAAUGCCAUUGUUUUUCUUCUCUUUUUUAUUGAGUUGCCUAGUAACUGUUCUAAUAUUAACUAUUUAUCCAACUAAUGCUUUAUAAUCUUCCUAUUUAAGGGGUUCCAUAUGUAUCUUUAAAGAAGUCAUUUAGUGAAUUUUAAAAAUUAUAUCUAAGAAGCGAGUCAUUUUCUCCUUUGAAAAGCGUUUGACUUGGUCUUACGAGGGGUAUUUGAUUGAUAAUGAAAAAAGAAGUUAUACUUAGCCAGGAGGAAAUAAACCUAACCCCUCAUAAUACAAGAAAAAAAAAAGGAUUAAAAAAAUACAUGAAAAUGAAGGGGGACAUAAAUGUUGCCCCGGUAGAAAUGAAAACAAUAGAGAUACAAGGAAAAUAGGGGGGGGGAUGAAACCUAACCCUUAUAAAGUCAAACCUAAAGGUCUAAACCUGCAAAAUAGAUCAAGCAACAUCACAGGGUUAAGAAAAGAGAACAGUCAGAUAAACAUAUAUACUGAGAUGCACAUUAAUUUGAGAAGCAAAAGCCAGGAAAGGCAGCAUAGUCUGAAAGCAAAGCAACAUGAGCCGCCACCGGAUGGAAUCAUACCAUACCAAAGUUGGAGAAAACAAAGCAACACGAGUUCCGUUUUCUUUUUCUUUGGUUGAGUGAUUCUCAGGUUAUCUACACUCGUCUCUUUGAGAACCUUGGCUCGUCCUACGUCACUGUUAUGGUUACUCUUUCACUUCAUUAUAGAGACUUAAUAGCUGUGCCCAGUCUCUUGCUCUGUUGAGAAGAAUCUUUUAUAGAGAUGAAGAUUUACUACUCAAUCACAUAUUUUACAUCAACCGAUGUUAGUCAACUUUGAGGUGAAGGUUUUUUGGGUUCUCUUGGUUUGUGGACUUGGCAAUGACUAUGAAGAAGCUUGAUUUUGUUGGAAGUGACUUAUAACAAUGCUUCUUUGCAAACGAUUGCAAGGUUAUAAUAAGUUGGUGUACUUUACUCAUGGCAACCAUUAUAGUAGUUCUUCAGCUUGCAAGGUUUAGUUCUAGUGAGAAUUAUCUUUCUUGUUUGUUGAUUGUGGGUCUUUUUUGAAUGCAUAAUUGUAUUAUACUCAUGAGUCAUGAUAAAUUUGUAACUAUAGAUUCGCGAUAUUUCUUUUGGUAUAUGCAUACUGUUCUAGGGAUUUUCCAUGUGUUUUUCUUAACUAAAGUUUGUUCUAAGUACCAUGUUGGUGUGCACGUCAUAUGUAAAUUCUUGAUAGUUCUUACUUGUAUAAUGAUUUGGCCCCCGCAUAUGAAAUCCUAGUUCUGCCCCUAGUUUCACUUUCAAGGAUCUAAAAUAAUUACAUUCUAUAUUUUUUUUUAAUCUGGAAACUCUCACUUUGGUGUAUAUACUACAUAGUGUAAAGCUCACUCAUGUGAGGAUUGGGAUAAAACAUUUACCCUCUAUGUUAUAGACUUGCAUCUUUUAUAUAUGGAGAUAUUACAAACCCAUACUCGUACAUAAGUUGUAGCAUUUGUCACGCAUCGAUCCCAAUACAUUAGGAUCGAUACGUGAUGUCACCAUGUGCCUAUUCAUCUAUCAUACCUCGCCUCCGAGACAUGACCAAAACAAACCAAUAGUUCAAUAGCAUAGUAACUUUUUUUUCUUUUAUUUCAUGGCUACAUCUAAUCUCUAUAUUAGAUUGCCUACAUACCCUAAAACGGGAUUAAGCCAUUCGUAGUUUACCCUUUGUCAAGCUCUGACAUUUCUCAUGAUACUUCCUAACAAAAAAACAUAAAGUUCUAAAAUCACUCAAUGGAACUCGAAAAGCAUAAAUCAAUACAUUUCAAAUUCAAUAACGAAAUCAUAUGACAACCAAGAUUGUCAUUUCGUCAUCCGCAUACAUAACAAUGUUUUACAACACAGUUCCACAAUCACAACAAAUAAUAGAUUCCAUGACUCAAGGAUACUCAAUAUUAACAUUUAACUACUUAAUCAACCAACAAGAUCAAAGUAUCCUUUCACGAAAUUUGAUAAUAAUCUUUGUAUUUCCCUACCUGGAUUCCAAGCAAUAUUGUAACCCUAAUUUACAAACAUAAAUGUCUACUAUCAGUAAUUUCUAUUCACAAUAAUCUAGGGUUUAGGACUAACUCCACGGAACCGACCAAGAGUUGGGAUCCCAGACCACUUAACGGAAUCCCACUAUGAAGUGGUCGCCCAUCACGGGUUUACCAAGCACAACUUCUCCUUACAACCUUAUGGAGGAAGUGGUUAGCCAUCACAGAUAUACCAAACACCAUCGCCCCUAGAAUACAUAUGGUCACCCAUCGGGGAUAUACUAAGUAGUACUAUAGGCAUAAACUAAUUGUGUAGGUAGUGAUCACCCUUGAAAUAUGUAUUGUCCCCAUCGGAUAUACCAAGUAGAACCAUAAGCGUGCAUUAAAUGGUGUAGUCCCUUAAUGCGAAUUAACAAAGCAAGACCACCCAUGAGCACCAAGUAACAAGGUAGGCAAUGACCCCUAAUGCAUAUUAACCAACCAGAGUCACCCCUAGAAUGUGUAUGGUCUCCUAAUUCAGAAUUAACCAAGCUUAUGACACCAAUAGCAUGGUCUUUUAAUGCGGAUUAACCAAGUAAGACCACUUAUGGAAACAAGGUAACCAAAUAAGUAGUGACCCCACAAUGCAGAUUAACCAAGCAAAGUCAUGCCUAUAAUGCAUAUAGUCCCCCAAUGCGGAUUAACCAAGCAGGUCCAUAGACAUGCAUCAAAUGGUGUGGUUCCCCAAUGCAGAUUAACCAAGCACGACCACCUAUGUACCACACUGCUACAUGGUUUAGUUGUAUCAUCACACAUUAUACAUCUUACAUCAUGAAUCGUACAUCAUACAUCAAUUCAGCAUGAAUCACAAUUGUAAGCGCGCACACACACACUCGAUUCCACGUGACUAACCAAAAGACUUGUCAUACAACAUAUAAGUUCUACAAAAAACUUCUACUAUGGUUCCAUGCUCAUUUUUUCAUACUAGCAAUGACAUAUCAAUUAUAUCAUCUAGAAGUUCAAUAAUCACGUAAAUUUUAGUAAGUUGCCACCCGCACGCAAAACAAAGCACAUAUCCCUCAAUAUGGCUCGCUUACCAAGAUAGACCCAUUAGACUUUAUCAGACAUCUAGUAAUGUUAAUUUCAGUACUUAAGAACGAUUUGGAACAUUUUGACCAAAUGUCAACCCUUGGUUAAUGUGGUCAACGAUACGGUUAACAACCCUAAUAAUUUAAUCCGGAUGACCUGUACGUCGAACUUCCAACCUGUAAAUUCCUAAGAUCCUAAAGUAUUACGUAUAACCACAUACUAUAAUUUCAUAAGGAUCCAACAGUCAGAUCUUCAUCUACUAGAAAGGCCGUGUGGCGGACCUUUACGAAACUAGGAUCAAACAGUCAAAUCUUGUCAAAGGGGUGUCAAAAACCAAAUUCAGGGCACAUGAAUUGGCCUAAGUAGACAAAGUGGGCAUCGAGCCUACACACCACUGCCACCCGCCAUCGCACACGAUAAUUAGUGGCUAUGACUCGCCGGAUUGUGGCCAUAACAAAAAAUGACCCAUAUUAUGUCAAAUUGAAGCCUGUGGAGGAUGGAGCAAUAUUCAUACAUUUGUCGGAGUCUAGAUAUGAUUGGAAAACCUUAAAUUCCUCAGUAAAGUUGUGGAUCGACGAAAAGGGUGUACCUUGUCGAGUCUUUAAUAGAGCUCGAACGUCAAAUUUAAAGCUCGGAGUUUGCAGCCCAAAUUGAGGUUAAUGCAGUGGAGGCAGUCAUCGACGUUGAGGUGAACGGAGAAGGCAGAUCGUCGGCAUCAAAGUCCCGGAAUUCUCAAGACUCAAUCCGCCACAAAUGAGAGCCAAACUAGGUUGAUCUUGGGUGGGAAAUGACCAUGGGGACGAGAGGAGUCUAUCCCAUAUGGUGGCCAAGAUUGUCGUCGACAAAAUUCAUUGGAAUCGGCGUAUGAAAGUUUGUCCAAAAACAAUCAAAAUUGCAGAGAGAUUCCGAGGCAACCAAGUCGACUUGCAUAGCUGUUUUCUAAAACGAGAAGAGCUCCCUUCCUAAAUCUGGGACCUUCCAUACAUAGGGGUCCAAAAGAUAAAAUUACCCCUUCCCUUGUUUCCUUAUUUCUCCUUCAUUAACAUUCCAAUUCGCGAUCGUUUUUUGUCCACGCAUUUGUGAGAUUGAGUUCUAUUCGAAAACACUAAAAGUGACUAAAAUGGCCUUACAGAUUUUUAAUUACUAAUUACGAAAAUAAAGUGAAUUUGUGUAAAUACGUAAAAUUAGAUAGUGAUAUAUUUCACACCUUCAUUAUUACCAUGGAAAAUUCAACAAGUUGUACUGUUGUAGCCUUCAAUAUUGCUAAGGAAAAUUCAGCAAGUUGUUAUAAGAAAUGACUUCGUGGGCAUCACCCACAUCACUAUUUCACCAAUAAACAUUCACCACGUGGGCAUUCAUCUUUUGUCAAACCAUAUGCAUAAGACUCCCUCCACCGCAUAUAUAAACAGACAAGUAGAAUGACGAAGAAGAUAUAGAUAGAGAGAUCAAUCAUAAGAGAGGUGGGACUGAGAGGAGCAAGGAAAUUAGCUAGGUUGAAUAUAUAACUUGGUAAGAAGAUAUAGCAACGAGAUGGCGGGUGAGGCGGCUGAUCAGAAAGAAAAAGUAUGCGUGACUGGAGCUGGAGGAUUUACUGCCUCUUGGGUCGUCAACCUCCUUCUCUCCAGGGACUAUGUUGUUCAUGGAACUGUCAGGCAACCAGGUCAGUCAAUCCCAACACUCAUCGUAUAUAUAGUAUAAUAUUAAUUGUAUACUUUCAGUGAGAAGAUUGGACUGAAUUGAGAAAAAUAUAUUCGUGCGCGCAUGCAGGAGAUAGCAAGUAUGCUCACUUGAACAAGCUUGAGAAAGCAUCAGUGAACCUCAAACUGUUCAAGGCAGAUUUGUUGGACUACGACUCUCUUCGUUUGGCCAUUGAAGGUUGCAGCGGAGUCUUCCAUGUUGCCAGCCCUGUACCCAAUUCUCUUAAUGAUUCAGACCCUGAGGCAAGAAUCUUCUAGAUUAUGUUAUCUUAAUUAAUUGAGUUAUGAUGAGUAAAUUUAAUCUACACAUUUAGUCUCUCUGGCAUUUACUUUAAUUAAUUAAUGUGUGCCUCGCUCAACGUAAUUUAUUUAACUAUAAUUGUUAGAUUCGACCGGCUGCAUUGAUUGAUUAAUGAAUCCCAUAUUUGAAAAAAAAAAAAAUUUGAAAUUUGAAAGUCCAAAAAAAAAAAAAAAUUGGCUUCCAGUGAAUAAUGCUUGUGCUCCCCUUAUGAAGGAACAUAAUUAUCUCUACAUUUAUAAUUAGCAUAUUUUACUAUACAAAAAUCAUAAUUGGAAUCGUUUAUUCACUUUCAUAUAUAAUCUAAAUAUCAUAUUCAUAAAAAAUCAUGGCUUUUUAUCCAAAAUGAUCCCUGAGAUUUGCAUAACACAUAAUUUUGGCACCUGAGAUUGAAAAUCAAUAAAAAUGGUUCAUGAGAUUUUCUACCAUCCAUGAUUUUAGUCAUUCCGUUAAAAACUCUGUUAGGUGGUUCUAGAGCUCUUGACCAGAAGUUUGGGUAAUUUUCAAAGCUUCAUAACUUAAUCGUUUCUUAACCAAAUUCGACCCAUAAUAUAUCAAAAUGAAGAUAGGAAAGUGUAGAAUAAGAUUAUACCUAUUUGGAAGCCCAAUUGUUUCCCGAUAUAGCAGGAAAAUAGCCUAAAAAGUGACUGGUCCGCAGGAAAACUGGAAAACUAGCCAGAAACUGGGUAAACUUUAAACGUUCAUAACUUCUUCAAUACUCAACCAAAUCGAGUGAUUCAAAAGCUAAACUCACACUUCUCAAUGAGAUACAGAGAAUGGUACCUUUUCUCGAUGGCUAACUCUCCGUGGUUAGACCGGAAAAUGGCUCGAAAGUGGCUAACUCGAUGAGACCAAGACAGCCAAUUUCGAGCCAUUUUAUGGCCAAACGACGGCAAGUUAUCCAUCAAGAAAGGUACCAUUCUCUUCCUCUCAUUGGGAAGUAUGAUUUUUGUUUUUGAAUCACUUGAUUUCGUUGAGUAUUGAGGAAGUUAUGAACGUUAAAAAUUUACCUAGUUUCCGGUGAGUUUUUCAGUUUUCCUACAGACCAGUCACCUUUCAGGCUAUUUUUAGGUCAAAACAUGGCGCAUUAGCCAUCAAGAAAGAUACCAUUCUCUUCGUCUCAUCUAGAAGUAUGAUUUUCAUUUUUGAAUCACUCAAUUUCGUUGAGUAUUGAAGAAGUUAUGAACGUUUAAAGUUUACCCAGUUUACGAUGAAUUUUCCAGUUUUUCUGCAAACCAAUCACCUUUCAAGCUAUCGGCCAAGAGGUCCGGAACCACUUAACGGAGUUUUUAACAAAAGGACCAAAAUCAUGGAUGGUGGAAAAUCAGGGACCAUUUUUAUUGAUUUUCAAUCUUAGGUACCAAAAUUAUGUAUUAUGCAAAUUUCAUAGACCAUUUUGGAUAAAAAGCCAAAAAUCAUUAAAUGUGAAGGUCUUUUAGUCAAUGCUAUGCAUCAAUCAAAGGAACCGUUUAUCAUGAAGAUGCUACUUGUUACCAAAACCAUCGAUUGGUUUAACAUGCAUGGAUGACUAAAAGACAUUCAAAUUGAAUGAUUUUUAGAUGAUGAUAAAUAAAAUGAACGGUUCCAAUUUUGAUGUUCAUACGAUAAAAAUAUGUUAAUUGUAAUUUGGGGGGGGGGGGAAGCAAGUUCUCUUACGAGAGGAACACAAGCAUGAUCCUUUCAGUUUUGAGUAAAAGAACUGAAAUUGUAGAAUAAAUGAAUGUGUUGCAGGAGUUUCUUGAACCAGCAAUAAAGGGAACGCUGAAUGUACUCAAGGCUUGCAAAAAGGCCAAAGUGAAGAGAGUUGUAGUUGUGUCGUCUAUAGCCGCCGUCGUUAUGAACCCGGAGUGGCCUAAGGAUCAAGUCAAGGACGAGACUUGUUGGUCCGUUCCCGAAUAUAUAAAAACAACAAAGAAAUGGUACUAUCUUUCGAAAACAGAAGCAGAACGCGAGGCUCUGGAGUUUGGAAAAAGAAAUGGACUUGAGGUUGUGACUGUUUGUCCUUCUAUCAUUUUGGGGCCAAUCUUGCAAUCCACUCUCAAUUCCAGUAGCUCUCUCAUUGUUGCAACUAUAAUAGGUAUCUCUGUGCAUAUUCAUAUAUUAAGAUUACAAGGUACAAGACAUGUUUCUUGUUUGUGCAAUAUUAAUGUACUAGUGUGUGUGUGUGCAUGCACGCGCGCAACUAUGUACGAAUGUGUAGGUGGUCUUGAGUCCUUGGGAUGCAAUUACUGGACGUUCGUGGAUGUUCGUGAUUUAGCUGACGCGCUGCUUCUUGCAUACAACAAGCCUGAGGCUGCAGGAGAAAGAUACUUAUGCAAUUCACACUCAAUUGGCAUACGAGAUGUGGUGGAGAAAUACUUAAGGCCUACAUAUCCCGAUUACAAGUACCCCAAGAAGUAAGUUAAACCAUUAGACUAGUCCUUCAAUAAUUAAUUAUGGUCUGUUUUUUUUUUUCAAUUCAUCCUUCUGUUUGGUUGUGUACCUUUAACGACUGAUCCAUGUUUAUGUUAUUAAGAUAUGUUACCGGUUGUAUUGGCAGCCUUACCUAUGCAGAGGAAGAAUUUCAACACUUUAGUUCCGAAAAAUUGCAGAAGUUGGGUUGGACUUUCCGGCCAGUUGAGGAAACGCUUAAUGAUUCUAUUGAAAGCUACCGGAAGGCUGGAAUCGUGGGUUAGGAAAAGUUGACAGACUAUUGUAUGUGUACUGUAUUUUCCCUAGCUAGCUAACUAGCUACUCUUAGUAUGCAGACUGCUGUGCACAAUCACAAACAAAAUAAUAGUUCUGCUUGGUAAGUAUGAUAAGCAGCAGUGUUUGCUACUGCCUGCGCUUAUGCUUCAUAUAGGUAGAAAGUUAAGUUAUGCUCUCGUCUUGAUUCCUACCCUAUAUGUUUGGGCCGCUUUAAAUUCCGUCCGGAUCUAACACCUCCGAGCCUUACACGGUGGGGGGUUUUAGGCUCAUGUGUGAAUUAGGCUUAUUUCUAGCUAAAUCUCUAUAUAAUUUAAUUUUAAUCUCACUUUGCCUCUUGUGAGAAUGUGAAGGUAAAAGAGUUUCAUAUUGAUGAAAGGAGAAACCUUGCAAAGGCUUAUAAGAGGUUGGACUACUUUUUAUAUUGCUAAUUGGUCUUAUGGUGGAACCUUAACUUUUUUUAUGGUAUCAAAGCAGGUUGACCCACAUGUAAAGCCCAACAGCUACAUGUGCUCCACCUCACCCAAUUCGUGUUGUCCACGUAUUUAGCAUGAAAGUUCGUCACACGUGAGGGGGUGUGUGAGAAUGUGAAGGUAAAAGAGUUCCACAUUGGUGAAAAGAGAAACCUUGCAAGAGCUUAUAAGAGAUUAGGCUACUCACCAUAUUGCUGAUUGAUUUUAUGGUGGAACCUCAACUUUUUUCACCUCCUAUAACUCAAAGUCUUUAUUUUACUCCCUAAAACUCAAAAUUUGUUCCACUUUGCCCUUGAAACUCGAUAUUGAUCUCAUUUUGCCCUCAUAAACUUAGAAGUCGUCAUUUUACUCACUUGUUCCACAUUCCCUUGAUUAUGUUAAUUCAUUAUGUGGGUUUGAUUUGUAUCCACCAAACUAAUCAUUUUUUUUCCAUCUUUGCAUCUCAAGCACAGAAACCUAAAAAAUUCUAAUUCUUAAUUUCUUCUUUUAAACUUUAUAUUUUCUGAUUGUUGAAUGUUAACGCAUGGUGAAUAUUUAUAAUCAAAUUCAAUGGUACUUGUGAAAAAGUCAUAUUGGGAGGUGGGUCCCCACAUAUGUACCAAAGGGUGACUUUUGGGUUUUCGGGAGAAAAGAUAGUUCACAAAUCAAAGUGAAAUGAUUUUGAGUUUCAAGAAGUAAAAUAGUAACUUUUGAGUUAUUAGGGCAAAGUAAAAUUAAAGUCAAGUUCCAAAGAGCACAACUAAAAAUAAGCAUGCGAAUUACUUCAUUAGGCAUAGACCAUGUUUUCGUGGUCUAAGUGUGUCUAUUCAACUCCUUUUGAGAUUGACCUUCAAAAUCAUAUCCUGCAGAUAUUUCAGAAUAUUUUCGAAACUGAAAUUGAAAUUCACUCUGUAAUGGUCAAAUCAUGUUUUUCAAUAGUCCUAUGCAAUGAUUAAAAAAAUCUAUUGAAUAUCAUCUCGUUCUUGAACUUUCGCUCUUAGUUUUAUUCAGUAUUUUCAUUCUGGUGGAGAUUUGGAAUGACGCAAAUACAUUUAGCGUGGUGAUAUCAUCUAGCUGCAACACUGCAUUGGUAAAGUUAUUUUAGUGGGAUCGUAUCAUUUCAUGUGUGUUUCGACUGUAAUUAUUUCUUUAAUUUUCCAGAAUUGGUAGUCUUUCGAAAACCGAAGGCGAAUUGAGGCCAUGGAGUACGCAAGAAUAAAUGGGCUUGACUUGUUAACCGUUUGUCCUACACUUGUUUUCGGGCCAAUUCUGCAGUACAUUGCAAAUGCAAGUACCUUGGUCCUCAUCAAGCUCUUGAAGGGUACUUAAGUUUUUAUAUAACCACAUGACGCUUAUUUGAAUCUGUUGCUUUAAAAUCUAGGGCUCUUCACAAAAAUAAGCCCCUAUGGAACCCCAUUUUACCACGACCAAAAAAAGAACUCCAUUUCAGAGUUAAAAAACCACAUAAACUUGAUAGGUCACGGAUUUGUUUUUCUGUAGUUUGAUUUUUGAAAUGUUUCUUACUACCAUUAACCAUUACGGGUGCUACCCUAAUUAUGUAUAAAAUCUAAAUAUGUUUAGAUAUAUAGGUAAGUGGUGUUGUAAACUCAUCCUGUGGUAAUUGUCUAUUGUUUAUGCAUUUGGCUCCAUUUUGAUCUCUACAACGCAGGAUCCAGGUUUAUCAUCCAUUCGUGAUCUUCGGGAUCCACAUUAACUGGUUUAGUAUUGUCUCCUCGCAAAAGGGUAUGAGUCACUGGAAAACAAGCUGUGAAUGAUAGUUGCCGUGCGGGAUGUAGCUGAAGCAGUCCUUAUGGCGUAUGAGAAGCCCGAGGCUGAAGGAAGAUAUAUAUGCACCGCUCACAUUAAGGCAAGAGAUCUGGUUGAAGAACUGAGGAGCAUUUAUCCUAAUAAGUAAGGUUUCUUGGAGAGAUUUUCAAAUUAAUUAUGUAUAUAGCGUUAUCGAUCAUCGAUGUCAUCCAACGCAAAAUUAAGUAGAAUGGACAGGGAUUCUUGUUGUAAUGGUUUUCCGUUCAAACUAAUUUUGUAAUUUUGGAUUCGUAUAUCGGCAGCUUUGUUGAAGUAGAAGAACAGCCAAGGUUGAGCUAGGAGAAACUUCAGAGGCUGGGUUUGAGUUUCCGACCUGUUCGUGGCGGAAUGUGGAUCUGGCCCUUCGCACAGCUCCCCAAGGGUUGAUGGCAUUUUGAGUGUGUAUGUUUGGUAGUCGGAUUCUUGCUGCUUGGUGUGCUGCAAGAAGAGUACAAUUUUCGUAUCCAGAUGCUGAUGUCAAAAUUGCGACGUAUAUUCAUAUUCAGGCACAUGAAACGACCCUCGGUUUAACUUUUUUGGUCGGUUUAAAUUUGUGUAACUGUAAACUAACAAGUAUUCAAAAUUGAACUUUAUUGCAACAUAUACAAAAGGCAUUUCAGGGGUAACAUUCCACAGCAUUCCAACUGAUAACACUUCGAACAACACUAUUAUAGUUUAACUCGGUAAACGAUAACUUACAAACUACGCAUCCGGUUUUCGAGCUUUAUUCUUGUUGCCGUAUACCAAUCCAGUCUCCUGAGACGGAAUUCAAGUUGUAAUUUGAAGUAUUUGGCAAGCAAUUGAAAAACUCAAUCAUAAUUUUUUUUCACUUGAAACAGCAUGUUGGAAUGCAUGCAAGUCAUAUCUUUUGUUAAAAUGCAUGCAUGAAAUAAACAUGUUGGAUGACUAGUGAAGUUAGGCUAGUCAACAUUCUUUGUGUAAAUUAGGCAAGUUAGGCAAGUUAGGAAAUUAGGCAAGUUAGGCAAGUUAGGCUUAUCUCUACUUUCUUUUCCUAUAUAUAUGUUUCAUUUGUAAUUGUCUUCAUGAAAUACACAUCAAAAAUUCUACAUGGUAUCAGAGCAGGAACUCUAAAUUCCUGGCUCUGUUGAUCGUUUCCGCUAAGUUUCUUUUACUCUAAGCCAAGAUGGCUGGAGAACAUUAUGAAGCUGAGAGCUCGAUGGAUGCUUUAGCUCUACCUAACGUUGAAAUCAACCCUAAUCAACGUCUCAGUUCUAUUUUGUUGAACGAAUUCAACUAUCUUCCAUGGAGCCGUGCUGUUUCUCUCGCACUUGGAGGGAGAUCAAAGCUUGGCUACGUAAAUGGUGCCAUAAAAGCUCCAGCAGUCACUUCUCCUACCUACGAGUCGUGGCUAUGUAUAGAUUAGUUGGUCAUGUCUUGGUUGCUUAACUCAAUGGAGCGUAGGAUUGCUGAAAUUUUCAGCUAUUCUGAGUCGUCCAUGCAUCUCUGGAAGCAAGUCAAAGAGAUGUAUGGAAAUCAAAAUAAUUCUGCCCGUGUCUUUCAACUUAAGAAGGAUAUUUCGAGCUUGCAACAAGGAGGAAAAGCCUUUGUUCAACAUCUUGGUAACCUUACAAGCAUGUGGAAUGAACUUGAUGUCUAUCGUCCUCAUACCACCGAUGCCACCAUGUUGAUCAAGAGAGCAGAAGAAGACAAGAUUUUUCAACUCUUGGCAAGCUUAGGCUCAGAGUUUGAAGAUCUCAGAAGUCACAUUUUAAUGAAUGUUGAACUUCCUUCAUUCACUGGUGUUUGUGCCAUCAUUCAAAGGGAAGAAGUAAGGAGGAAAGUAAUGAGUCAAGAUACAAAAAAUCCUAUUCCUGAAACUAGAGCAUAUGUCUCCAACAACAAGCGUCCUGAGGGCAAAGUUUAUAAGGGAAAAAGACCAGAUUUGAAGUGCAGCUACUGUGAUUCACUUGGACAUACAAGAGACAGGUGUUGGAUUCUUCAUCCAGAAUUGAAGCCAAAGGGUCCCCAAAGACAGUUGAGUAACAAUGGCUAUAAGGCAAAUUCUGCAGCUAUCUCUUCGACUGAAGGAAUGGUAAACUUCACUACCAAUCCUACAACAUUAAUCAAUGAUUUUGCAGCAUAUCUUCAUAACAAACAGCUGCAUAACAAUGGAGAUGAAGCUCAUGAAGCUACAGUAGCUAAAAAAAAGGAUCACACUGCCUUACUUGGACAAUUUGCUGGUUUCUUGGCUGAGCAUGAUCAUGUUUCGCAGAAGGAUAUUCCAGGUAUUUCAAGUGCCUUAUCUACUGCCUUAAAUGCUAGUAAUGAACAUGAUUAUUGGAUCAUUGACUCAGGUGCUACGGAUCAUAUGACAAAUCAAAUUAAUAACUUGCAUGAUUUCAAAACAUUGUCAAAACCGUCUCAAGUGUCAGUAGCCAAUGGAAAAGGUGCAUUAGUUGUAGGAAAAGGAAAGGUCAACUUACUCUCAAAACACAUAGAGUCAUCAGCUCUUUACAUUCCGUCAUUUCCUUUUCAACUUCUAUCAAUAGGAGCCAUCACCAAUUCUCUAAACUGUCUAGCUAUUUUUUCUCCCCCACAAUGUUGUUUUUCAGGACAUCAUCACCAAGAGAACGAUUGGUGAAGGUUUCUUUUUGAAUGGUCUUUACUACUUAGCUAAAGAUACUAAGGAUCCCAAGGUUUUUCAAGUCAGUUUAAGUGUGUCUCAAGAUCAACAACUUUGGCAUCAACGUUUGGCUCAUCCUUCUGAAAAAGUGAUGUCUUUCUUAUUCCCAAAAUUGUGCAAAGACAAGUUGCACUGUGAUGUUUGUCAUUUGUCUAAAUUUUCCAGGUUGCAUUUUGAGUCCUCCACCAAUAAAGCCAGUCAUCCGUUUGAAAUCAUUCAUUCAGAUAUUUGGGGUCCAAUACUAGAGUCAUUUGAUGGAUAUAGAUAUUUUGUAACCUUUGUUGAUGAUUUCACAAAAAUGACUUGGUUGUAUCUUUUGAAAUUUAAGAGUGAACUUCCAAUUGUUUUUCAAGAUUUUCAUAAACUGGUUGGCACUCAAUUUGCAUCAAAAAUUCAUAUAUUAAGAUCCGACAAUGGCACUGAGUAUAUGUCCCAUAACAUGUCUCAAUACUUGAGUAUUCAUGGCAUCUUGCAUCAAACAACAUGUGUUGGCACACCUCAACAAAAUGGAGUGGCUGAAAGAAAAAAUAGAGAUCUUCUUGAGAAGACAAGAUCAAUCAUGUUUCAUAUGAAUGUACCCAAGAAAUUUUGCUCACAAGGAGUACUUACAGCUGCCUAUCUUAUUAAUAGAUUGCCUAGCAAAAUACUCAGUUUCAAGUCCCCAUUUGAGAUGCUAAAAGGCAGAAAAAUUGAUCUUUCACACUUGAGAGUUUUUGGCUCCACCUGCUUUGUUCACAACAAAUCCCCUCAUCAUGAUAAAUUAGAUCCUAGAGCUAUCAAAUGUAUUUUCUUGGGUUACUCAUCCACUCAAAAAGGCUACAAGUGUACAAUCCAAUCACAAAUAAGCUUCUAGUUUCAAGGGAUGUAAGGUUUAAUGAAAAUAUGUCCUACUUCUCAAAGAAACUAAGUGAUGCAGAUCAGGGGCAGUUUUUGAGUGAUAUGUUUCCAUUGCCUAUUGUCCCGUACUACCAAGAAAAUCCUCCAUCAUGUGACACUACAAGUCCAUCACCUGAACAUGCUCCAUCCCAAGUCACAAAUGUUGAGCAUCCAGUCCAGAUUCGUCGAAACCCUUCUAGGGUUCGUCAACCCCCACUUCGACUACAUGAUUAUGUCACCUACACCUCUAGGUAUCCUCUCACAGAUUUUGUUUCCUAUAAGCAGUUUUCACCCUCUCAUAUCUCAUUUCUUAGUGCCUUGGAUCAUACUCAUGAACCACAAACAUUUCAAGAAGCAAGUAAACAUAAAGUUUGGCAAACUGCAAUGAGGGACGAACUGCAAGCUCUUCAUGAAAACAAAACCUGGAGUGUAAUUAAACUUCCCACAUGGAAGAAAGUAGUGGGUAGCCGUUGGGUGUACAAGACAAAGUUCAACUCAGAUGGGACUAUUGAAAGACACAAAGCUUGUUUAGUGGCUCGUGGUUUUACUCAGACUUAUGGCUUGGAUUACAAGGAAACCUUUGUUCCCGUAGCCAAAAUGAACACUGUAAGGGUUAUCUUGUCAGUUGCUGUGAAUCAAUCUUGGCCUCUCUAUCAAAUGGAUGUGAAGAAUGCUUUUUUGCAUGGGGAAUUAGAGGAGGAAGUGUACAUGAAACUACCACCAGGGCAUCCUCAAUCGAGCGAUCCUGACAUGGUUUGUAAACAGCACAAAUCUAUUUAUGGUCUGAAACAGUCUCCACGUGCCUGGUAUGCAAAACUAAGCUCAGUCCUUGAAGAGUUUGGCUUCCAAAGAAGCAGUGCAGAUUCCUCCCUAUUUGUUUGUAAUGGCUCAGUUGGAAAAGUCGUUGUUUUAAUCUAUGUAGAUGAUCUCAUAGUGACAGGUGACAAUGAUGCAGAAAUCCAAUCUCUCAAGCUUUCUCUUCGAAACAAAUUUGCAAUCAAGGAUUUGGGGCACCUCAAAUAUUUCCUUGGUAUUGAACUUGCGACUUCACAUCAAGGUCUCUUUCUCAAUCAAAGAAAAUAUAUCCUUGAUCUCUUGCAGGAAUCUAACUUAAUGGAUUGUAAACCUGCACGCACUCCUCUGGAUAGUAAGCUGCAACUCACUACUCACAGUGAAGUUCUUUCCAAUGUUACUGAAUAUCAAAGAUUGGUAGGAAACCUUAUUUAUCUCACAAUCACGCGGCCAGAUAUUUCCUAUGCUGUGUGUAUUGUGAGUCAGUUUAUGCAUGCUCCUACAUCAGUUCAUACGCAGAUUGUGAAGAGAAUUCUUCGUUAUCUAAAAGCGUCUGUUGGUCGCGGGAUCCUUAUGAUAAAGAAUGAUAGCACUGCCAUCAUGGGUUACACAGAUGCUGAUUGGGCUGGGCACUCUCUUGAUCGCAAAUCAACCACAGGUUUUUGUACCUUUGUAGGUGGAAACUUGGUAACAUGGCGCAACAAGAAGCAAAGCGUUGUAGCUCGUUCCAGUGCAGAGGCCGAGUAUCGAGCUAUGGCAUCCACUGCUUGUGAACUUAUUUGGCUAAAAAGUCUUCUGUUUGAUUUAGGGUUUCACAGUAAGGAACCUAUAUCUAUGUUCUGUGACAAUCAAGCUGCCAUGCAUAUUGCUUCCAAUCCUGUAUUUCACGAGCGAACGAAGCAUAUUGAAGUGGAUUGUCAUUAUGUUCGAGCACAGGUUCAAGCCAACAUCAUCAACACUCAUUACACUCGCAGUCAUGAUCAAUUGGCUGACAUUUUUACUAAACCUCUUCCUACGGCUCAGUUCAUGCGCAUUCUGUCCAAGCUUGGCUCAAGGAAUCCCCUCGAUCCAGCUUGAUGGGGAGUGUUGGAAUGCAUGCAAGUCAUAUCUUUUGUUAAAAUGCAUGCAUGAAAUAAACAUGUUGGAUGACUAGUGAAGUUAGGCUAGUCAACAUUCUUUGUGUAAAUUAGGCAAGUUAGGCAAGUUAGGAAAUUAGGCAAGUUAGGCAAGUUAGGCAAGUUAGGCUUAUGUCUACUUUCUUUUCCUAUAUAUAUGUUUCAUUUGUAAUUGUUUCUUCAAGAAAUACACAUAAAAAAUUCUACACAGCAGAAACUCAGAUAUGAAACAGUACCUGAGGAUCGACGAUCGGUUUCUGUUUCUUUACGUAAGCAUGGGGAUCCGCAGAGGCCAGAGCGGCCCUUUCCUGCUGUUCCCGCUUGAGGUCCUGUGAGGGCUUCACCCAGAGGAAGUAGGCUAGCGUACCAGCUACCACCCAUGACGCCAGGUUGCUUCCUCCUCUCAGGCCUCCCGUCGAAUUCGAUACGAAGGACCUCACAUUUCCCAAUCUUCUCUUCCAUGUGCUCGUCAUUGAUGUCAAUUUCGUCGCCUCUCUCGCCGAUAUGGGGAUUCGGGAGUUAUAGGGUUUUUUAUUUCUCUGAUCCCCCUUUGCAUGAUUUAUGCUAUUUCCAAACUAUAACACCGAAACGGUGGAGGCAGGAGGGCCUCCUCAAGUAAAGAAGAAUUUUAAGCCUCUUGGGCCACUCUUUUAAGUUGAUUGGACUGGGCCUCUUGGGCCACUCUUUUAGGAUUCGUUUGUUGCACCAAACUAUCUCGGAUUAAACUAGAUGCAGAUACUAAGCUGGACUGGCUUAGACUAGACUAAGCUGGAUUAACUUAGUGCAGCGUUUGGUGCAGUGUAGGACUAAAAAGCAAAUAACUAAAGGACUCAAAUAUUAUAUUAUUUAAUCUAUAUUUAUUAAUAUUUUAUUAUUAAUUUAUCACUUUUUUUUUCUAGAAUCAUCUCUCUAUCUGCCAAUAACUUUUCAUUUUUUUCAUCUUAACCCAUUCCUCUUUUCCUCCGCUAGUCUCUCCCUCUCCUCUCCCUCUUUGUAUCUUGUUUCACCAUUUUUCUAGAAUUCUCAUCCUCUUCGUAUACCUCUCCCUAUUUUCCUCUGCCCACUCUCUCCCUCCCCUCUCCCACUUUUCCUCAUCCACUCUCCCCCUCUUUUGCUUAUGCAAAGAUUCGUGCAGAGGGUUUAUCGAAGCUCUUCACCCAGCGCCUUCACCGGUUUUGUAGGAAAAUCUCAAUUUUUUCUGGUGAUUUUGCCUUUUUAUUUUGAAUUUGUGUGGGGAUUCGUCUGCAGGUGCUUAAUUCUGGGGGUUUUGCAUUUUUUUUGUUUUGAAUUUUAGGUAUUGAUUUUGAGAUUUAAGCAGUGGGUUUGAGAUCUGGGCAUGGGUAAGGGAGUCAGAGUUGCAGACGAAAAAGGCGUGCAAACGAUGUUGGAGAUGGGAUUAGGAAUCCCAUGCUUUUUGGGGGGUCCCACUAGGACGACCUAGCGAAGCACUUAGUCGGAACGAGUCCAACUUAGUCUCAUUUAAGUUUAGUCCAAUUCGCAUCAAACACGGGAUUAGGAGUCUUAGCAAAGCAAUCAAGUCCAAUGAACUCUAAUGAGGGCAAACAAACAAGCCCUUAAGUUACUUGGGGGAUUCCACGGUCGUAAAUAAUUAAAAGAUAUUCACAUGAGAAAAAAGAUGACUAUAAUAUUUCGAUUUCUCCAAAACCUAGCAUACCUCGUUUUAUGUUUAUAUUUGUAAAUCGUGGUCCAUGGGUCCACUAUUUAAGAUUAAUAGAAUUAUCUUUAAGUAGUGGCCUUGCCCAGGCUAAUCUAUUGUAUCGUCUUAAACUUUUAUUAACACAAUAAUUGAUUUUAGGACAUAAAUUCUAGUUCUAAUAAUUUCUCACCGGCACUAAAAAUUAAUCAGUGUCUCUUUAAACCAAUGACAAAUAUACCAAAAUUUUCAUAUUGCUAACAUAAAGAAGUAUGAUAAAAGCAAUGGAUUUGCCGGUCGUCAUUGGAAUAGAGCAUGAGUAAACCAUCAACGAUGAAUGUAUAUGGACAAAACACAUCUAUGAAGGACGGAGAGAGAAUAUGUUAAAGAGAAUAUUGUCUUUAUAAUGUGUUACAGAACAAAAAAGUUAUCUUCUAUCAGGAAUAUUGUUAUUCUUUACAACUUUGAUUGUAGUUGUAGUGGACAAUAAGAAUAUUAUUAUACUGUGAAAUUAAUUAAUAUUAUAAAGUAAAGAUCUAUUUGGUAAGUGCAUCUUCAAGAUUAUUUUCGGAAGUGUAUUAAUUAAAUAGUAUAGAGUAUGAAUAUCUAUCUAUAUACUAUAUUUUGUUUUUGUUUUGUUUUUGUUUUUUGUAAAAUGGGGACAAUUGGUGGCAAGUCACGUUAUCCAUCUGUAGACAUCGAAAUUUCGGUAAAUAAAUGUUGACCGAUAAAUCAAAGUUUCAACGCUCAUGUAUUACAUAAAUUUUACACAUAGCGUGUGUCUAAACAACAAAUCGAGAAUUAUCGGAAAAGUCAUCAAACAGGACACGUGUCAACACCUGGCAUAAACGACUUAUUUCAUCUAGAAUAUUAUAUUCAAAAUUAGGCCUUGAAAAAUUCUAUAAAUAGAAGCCAAUUUCAUUCAUUUGAGGGGACCAAUUCAUAUUACACCUUGAAACUCUGAAGCUCUGAAACUCCGAAGCUCUCAAGCAUCCAGGUUCUCGAAGAAUCAAGAAAGCCUUCUUUGUUCUUCGUUUAUCGUUCUUCCAAGAUCAAGCCCCGACGGCCCUUGGAUCAACAAUCAUCCACCUUCAAGAUCAAGCCCUGACGACCCUUGAAGAAAGUGUUCAUCGUUCAUCAUCCGUUCAUCCCGAAGAAUUAAGAAAGCCUUUUUCGUUCUUCGUUCAUCGUUCUUCCAAGAUCAAGCCUCGACGGCCCUUGGAUUAACAAUCAUCCACCUUCUAGAUCAAGCCCCAAAGGCCCUUGAAGAACUUCCACCAAUUCAAGAUCAAGCCCCGACGACCCUUGAAGAAAGUGUUCAUCGUUCAUCAUCCGUUCAUCCCAAAGAAUCAAGAAAGCCUUCUUCGUUCUUCGUUCAUCGUUCUUCCAAGAUCAAGCCUCGACGGCCCUUUGGAUCAGCAACGUCGACAAAUCCACACAUCCAACCGUCCUUCAAGAUCAAAGCCCAAAAGCCUUUGAAAAUCCGUUCAUCACUGUUCUUUAAGAUCAAGCCCAAAAGCCACUUGAAGAUCCGUUCAUCACCAUUAUUCAAGAUCAAAUCUCAAUGGCCCUUGAAGAAACGCUCAUCCUCAAGAUCAAGCCCCAACGGCUCCUUGAAGAUCCAUUCAAAUCCACUUUCAAGAUCAAGCCCACGGCCUUUGAAGAACGUUCAUCUUUAGAUUAAGCCCAACGACCCCUUUGGAUCAAUCGUACAUCCACAAAUCAACACCUGACGGAGAUCGAAUAAGAGGAUCAAAUUAGAGAGAGAUUGUAACCCAAAAUCAUCAAAUACCGAAAUUUUUGUUUGUGCACGUUGUUUUGUCUCUUUCGUUUCAGGAAAUUUUUGUGUUCACACCACCUAUUACGGGGGCUGGGAAGACUCACAUAGGCAUUUUAGCCUUCCCCUGACCACAAGUCUAGCUUCCAUACCAGCAGCGGGUUUUGAACUCGAGACCUUCAGUUUUUAGUAUUCAAAGAUCAAUGCAUUACCGUUAAGAGAGUGGGUUGGAUGGUCAACCUAUCCUAACUUAACCUUUACAAUUUGGAUUUGGAGUGGGCCCAGUUCAUGCGGUUUUAGUCUGGUUUUAUUUAGAUUCGAGUUUAUUCGCGUUUGGUUCGGGUUCAUCCAACUUUAUCGAGUUUAAUCUUAUAAUACCUAAUUUUGCAUGAUUUUUCAAAUUUGAACCAAACAAAGUCAAUAUUAAUUAAACUUUCAUUUACACAUCAUCAUCCACACAAAAGCUAAAACAAACAAGUUGGAGACUAUUUCUAAUGUUUCAACCAUGCAAAGUUGAAAGUUAAAUUAUAAGACGUACCAAAACUUCAACCAAAAGAAACGUGACGUACCAAAACUUCAACCGGAAAAAAUUUAAAAGUAAAACUUUCAUUCAUUAUCAUUAUGAAAAACGACAAUAAACCUUACAUAACUUAUAUAAUAUGAAAUGAGAUAGGUAAUAUGUGCACGAGUGAAUUCGGGCUCAAAAUCAGGUUGAGUUUUGGUUAACAUGGGUGGACAAUACAUCCACCCAACCCAACCCAAUAAAUUAAAGAGUUGAGGUUGGCUUGGAUUUGGACGAGUUUUUCUUCAUUCUAACUUGCUUAAUCAGAUUUAAAAUCGAGUUUAGUAUGUGCCGAUUCGGGUUGACCAAACCCAAGUUGUGUUGAAUUAUAAGUCUCUAGCUGAUUAGAAAUAAGUUAUGAUGUUAAUAUGUGUAUGCACUUAUGUUAAAAUACUAAGUGAGAAGAUAUAUAGAUGUAAAGGCCAUGAGUGCCAUGUGUGAUGAUCUUAUAGAUUAGCUAAAUGUGUGGCUGAGAUCUAUUAUUUUGAAUGUCCUUGAUCCAGCUCAGGUUUUGUAAAGCUAUAUAUCCUCUCUUGCACGUUGAGUGAAAGCCGGAGAGACAUUUAAUGAAAACAUUAUUCUUCUGAGUAAUUGCAGAAGAAAGAACCACCACCUUCUCUCUCUGUUUUUCUUCUUCUCUUUCAAAUUUGCUCUCUCUAAAACACUAACAUGGCCUCAGAGCCUGUGUUCGAUUAGAUCUGGGCGUGUUCUGUGCACUCAAACAUCACUGGUUUUGGGUUCGGUGAAGUUUGCCGGAGUUUAUUUGUGAUCUAAGAACUACGUGUUUCUGGAUUCACACAAGCUCACGAUGGCUAGAUCUGGGAGUACUGAAGUAAGGACCCCGAUCUUCUCCGGUGAGAACUACGAGUUCUGGAGAAUCAAAAUGGUUACCAUUUUCAAGUCACAUGGACUAUGGAGUCUGUUGGAAAAAGGAAUUUCAACUUCCGAUUCGAAGAAGAAGAAAGCUAAGACUGAUGAAGAUACAGAUGUUGAUACUGACGAUGAUGAGAAAAUGGCUGCAAUCUUCAUGAAAGAUGCAAAAGCUCUCGGAAUCAUUCAAAACGCAGUCUCCGAUCAGAUCUUCCCUCGAAUCGCAAACGCAGAUUCAGCAAAAAUGGCAUGGGAUCUGUUAUAUGGCGAAUAUCACGGUGGGGAUCAGGUAAGAUCGGUGAAACUUCAAAAUCUUAGACGAGAAUUUGAAUACACUAGAAUGCGUGAUGAUGAAUCUUUGACUGGGUAUCUUACUCGUUUAAAUGAUCUGAUUAAUCAAAUGAAGACGUUUGGUGAAACUCUGUCAAAUGAGAAAUUAGUUCAGAAGGUGUUAAUCAGUCUCACUAAGAUGUAUGAUCCUAUAUGCUUAGUGAUAGAAAAUACCAAAUGUCUAGAAUCUGUUGAACUGCAAGAGGUACUAGCCAUAUUGAAGAGUCAAGAGCAGAGGUUUGAUUUGCAUUCCACCGAUGCAACUGAGAGAGCAUUUUCUUCUCUUACUGUUAAUUCAAAAUGGCAGAAUCGAGGUUAUGCUCAGUCUAGUGUUUUUAAAUCACAGAAAAAUUGGAAUCAAAAGGGUAAGAAGUGGGAUUCAAAACCAAAGUUUCAGCAAAAAUCAUUCACAAAUGUUGCACAGAAUAGUACUUCUUCACAGGUUAUGGGUCAAGAGAGUGUAAAACCUCAAUGUAAAGUGUGUUCAAAGUUUCAUUAUGGUGAAUGUAGAUACAAGGGGAAAUCGAAGUGCUAUAACUGUGAUAGAUUUGGACAUUGGGCCAAAGAGUGUACUGUUGGAAAGUCUGUUCAAAAGGCAAACUGUGCAAAUCAAAUGGAGGUGACAGGAAAUCUAUUUUAUGCAAAUUGUGCAGUUACUGAGACUAAGGUCAAUGGAGAUUGGUACAUAGAUAGUGGUUGCAGUAACCACAUGACAGGAAAUGUGGAUUUGCUGGUUGAUGUGAGAACCAACAUAGCUGGCAAAGUUCAAAUGCCAACUGGAGAUCUUGUGAAUGUAGCUGGAAUGGGAUCACUGGUGAUAGAUACAAAUAAGGGCAGAAAAUAUGUGAGAGAGGUAAUGUAUUUGCCUGGUUUAAAAGAGAAUCUGCUAAGUGUAGGUCAAAUGGAUGAGCACGGAUAUUUUCUUGUGUUUGGUGGUGGAGUGUGCAGUGUGUAUGAUGGUCCAUCACUGGAAUGUUUAAUCAUGAAAGUGAAGAAGAAAGUGAACAGGUGUUAUCCACUGGUUUUAUUAUCUGAGAAUCAAGUAGUCUUAAAGGCUAGUGUCACUCACUCCACUGAGAUUUGGCAUAAGAGAUUUGGACACCUGCAUCUUGAUGGUCUCAAACAGUUGAGAGACAAGGAUAUGGUACACGGCUUACCUCAGCUUGAAGACUACAAUGGAGUCUGUGCAGGUUGUCAAUUUGGAAAACAACACAGAGAAGAGUUUCCAAGAAGUCAAGUACAGAGAGCAACUUCUCCACUUGAACUUAUACAUGUUGAUCUGUGUGGACCCAUGAAAAAUGAGUCAAUUGCAGGAAAUAAAUAUUUCAUGCUCUUGGUAGAUGAUAUGACCAGGAUGGUAUGGGUCUAUUUUCUGCGAUACAAAUCUGAUGCAUUCAACUGUUUUAAAAAAUUCAAAGCCAUGGUAGAACUACAAAGUGGUUUCAAGAUCAAGUAUCUGAGAAGUGAUAGAGGAGGGGAGUUCAAAUCAUUCGAAUUUGACUCGUUCUGUGAAAAAGCUGGAAUUCAAAGGCAGUUUACCCUUGCAUAUACUCCACAGCAAAAUGGAGUAGUAGAAAGGAAAAACAGGACUGUGGUUGAGAUGGCUAAAUCUAUGUUGCAUGAGAAGAGUUUACCAUAUUUUCUCUGGGCAGAAGCAGUUCACACAUCUGUGUAUGUUUUAAACAGAUGUCCCACAAGGGCUUUGAAAAACAUCACACCUUUUGAAGCCUACUCGGGAAGGAAACCAGGAAUAGCUCAUCUGAGAGUAUUUGGUUCAGCAUGUUAUGUUCAUGUUCCAAGUGAGCACAGACAUAAACUUGAGCCUAAAAGUUUCAAAGGGGUGUUUGUGGGAUAUGCAACUUGUGAAAAGGGAUAUAGGGUGUUUGAUCCCAUAUCAAAGAAGUUGAUAUUAUCAAGGGAUAUUGUUUUUGAUGAAGAAGCUGUAUGGAAUUGGGAAGUGAACUCUGAGCAGCCUAUCUCUACUACUGAAAACUUUGUUUAUGAUGAAUUAAGAAUAGGAAGAAAUGAAGGAAUGAUGCAGACUCCUACCUCAUCAACAGCAUGCUCACCUAGGAAUGCUCUUAGUAUUGGAGAUUCUGUCCAAUUUAAGGGACUUACAUCAGGUGAAUCUGUAAACAACUCAAACUUGAGUGAAAAGGAUACUCAAGCAUUUGAUCAUACACCAUUGAAGUGGAGAAAACUGGAUGACGUCUUAGCACAAUGUAAUCUCUGUAUUAUGGAUCCAGAGAAAUAUGAAGAUGCCAAACAAGAUGUGUCUUGGUUAAAAGCCAUGGAGGAUGAGAUGUUCAUGAUUGAAAAGAAUGGCACCUGGAUGCUUGUUGAUAGACCAACUGAGAAACUUGUCAUUGGGGUUAAAUGGGUGUACAAAACCAAAUUAAACCUUGAUGGUUCAGUGUUGAAGAAUAAAGCAAGGUUAGUUGCAAAGGGCUAUGCUCAAAAGCCUGGUUUGGACUACAAUGAGACCUAUGCACCAGUUGCUAGGUUAGAUACUAUUAGAACUUUGAUUGCCUUAGCUGCACACAAGAGCUGGAAGUUAUAUCAGUUAGAUGUGAAAUCGGCCUUUUUGAAUGGAGUUUUACAAGAAGAGGUCUAUGUUGAACAGCCCGAAGGUUUUGUUGUUAAAGGCAAGGAAGAAAAAGUGUACAAACUUCAUAAGGCUCUCUAUGGUCUAAAACAAGCUCCACGAGCUUGGUAUGGUGAAAUUGAUAACUAUUUCACACAGUGUGAUUUUGAGAAGAGCCUAAGUGAACCAACUCUAUACAUAAAGGCAAGGGGAGAAGAUGUCUUGAUUGUUUCCAUCUAUGUAGAUGACAUAGUCUACACUGGAAACUGUAAAACAAUGCUAGAAGACUUCAAGGAAGAUAUGAAGAUGAAAUAUGAGAUGACAGAUUUGGGACUGUUACAUCACUUUCUUGGAAUGGGGGUGAUCCAAACCGACUCUAGCAUCUUCAUUCAUCAGAAGAAGUAUGCAAGUUCUUUACUAAACAAGUUCGGUCUGAAUGAGUGCAAAUCUGUGAUCACACCACUUGUGGCAACUGAGAAAUUAACUAAAGAUGAUGGAAGUGGAGCAGUAAGUGAAGAGUUAUACAGAAGCAUUGUGUGAAGUCUUCUAUAUCUCACUGCUACUAGGCCAGACAUCAUGUAUGCAUCUAGUUUACUUGCUAGAUUUAUGCACUGUCCUACUAGCAAGCAUUUUGGAACUGCCAAACGUGUGCUCAGGUAUAUCAAAGGGACUCUAGACUAUGGUUUGGAGUAUACAAAGGGCAAGAAAGCAAUGUUGAUUGGCUAUUGCGACGGUGACUGGGGUGGAUCAUCAGAUGAUAGCAAAAGUACAUCUGGAUAUGCAUUUUCUUUUGGAAGUGGAGUUUUUUCUUGGGCUUCAGUUAAACAAAGUUGUGUGGCAUUAUCCACUGCAGAAGCAGAGUACAUAAGUGCAUCAGAGGCUACUACUCAAGCUAUAUGGCUGAGAUUUGUCUUGGAAGAUUUCGGAGAACUACAGACUGAAGCCACUCCUCUUCACUGUGACAACACUUCUGCCAUUGCAAUCACUAGGAAUUCUGUCUUUCAUCAAAAGACCAAACACAUAGACAGAAGGUAUCACUUCAUUAAAGAUGCACUGCAAGAAGGAAUCAUUGAUUUGAUUUAUUGUCCUACUGAAGAGCAGAUAGCAGAUAUUUUCACAAAACCUUUGGCCAAGGAUCGGUUCAACUAUCUCAGAAAUUUGCUUGGAGUGAAAUCAGCUCAAGACUUAAAGGGAGUGUUGAAUUAUAAGUCUCUAGUUGAUUAGAAAUAAGUUGUGAUGUUAAUAUGUGUAUGCACUUAUGUUAAAAUACUAAGUGAGAAGAUAUAUAGAUGUAAAGGCCAUGAGUGCCAUGUGUGAUGAUCUUAUAGAUUAGCUAAAUGUGUGGCUGAGAUCUAUUAUUUUGAAUGUCCUUGAUCCAGCUCAGGUUUUGUAAAGCUAUAUAUCCUCUCUUGCACGUUGAGUGAAAGCCGGAGAGACAUUUAAUGAAAACAUUAUUCUUCUGAGUAAUUGCAGAAGAAAGAACCACCACCUUCUCUCUCUGUUUUUCUUCUUCUCUUUCAAAUUUGCUCUCUCUAAAACACUAACAAGUUGCACCCUAAUUACAGUUAUUUCAAUUUGAUUUUAUAUGCACGCCAUGUGUGAAAGUUGUUCGCAUUUUAUUAUCUAUCUAUACUAUUAGCUAAUCCCUUUUAAGUUCGAUUAUCUCUAAAGAAGAAUUUGAACCACAUUAUUGCUAACUCAUUAUGAGGCUAAGUCCAUACCCUUAAUGUAGAUAAUAUCGCUUUCGUUAAAAAAAAAAAAACUAAGAACAAUUUAACUUUUAGGAAUAUUUAUGUCAAAUAAUUAAAUAAGUUAUUUAAACCCUAUAAAAUUGUUGUAUUGUAGACUAUUAGAUGGAUGGUUUAGACGUGUUUAUCUUUAGCAAUUUUCUUCACAAAAUGUAGUUUUCGUUGCUUCAUUAGUCAUACAAAAGGGAUUAAUACGUCCUGUCGGUUGGCACAUGGGUGGGCUACCUAUAAUAUAAGCCAAACCGAGCGAGGAAGCAAAAGGAGUGGGUGGGUGUUGACAGUUGAGAGAGAGAGAGAGAGAGAGAGAGAGAGAGAGAGAGGUGGGAGUGUGCGUGAUAAAAAAUGGCGGUUGAGAAGGGAAGAUACUGUGUAACAGGAGCUGGAGGGUUUCUUGCGUCGUGGGUUGUUAAGCUUCUUCUUUCCAAGGAUUCUAUUAUCCACGGAACCCUCAGAGACCCCUGUAUGUAUCCUCUAUCCAACCAUUUUCCUUUCUUUCUUUCGACUGUUUGCACUUGCAGUGACUACUGUUCCAUCGAUUGUAGGACAAGAUACAUCUGUUUUCAUUUUCAUUAUCUGCUACUUUGAUUCUCGUUUGAUGCUUAAUUAUUUAGAGGCUGCUUGAUUAUCAUUUCGUUUUUCAAUUUUUUCAAUUUUCCUUUUUCUUUAAAAAAAAAAAAUUUUAAAAAAGGAAAAAAAAAAACUGAAAACUUGUUUGGUAACUAUUUGAGUUUUUUUAAUUUGGCAACCAGUUACCAAACAUGUAAUGAAAACUAAAAACUGGCAUAGUUAUCGAGCGGACCUUUAACAAGAUAAAUGCUCAGUUCUUAAAUUCUAAUGAUUUUGGCUAUAAUUUUGUUGGUGUGAUAUGCUUGAUUACAAGUAAUGCAAACACAAAAUGAACAAAUUUCUUGAUUGAGUGGAAACUGGCUCAAAGAGUGUCAGGAAGCGGAAAUCGUGGAUGAUUAAUAGUACUGUAUUUGUGUUGUGCACAAACGCAGCUAAUGACAAGCACGCCCACUUGAAAAAACUUGACAAGGCAUCUGAGAACCUGAAACUAUUCAAAGCGGACUUGUUGGACUAUGAAUCCCUUCACACAGCGAUUCAAGGAUGUGAUGGAGUGUUUCAUGUUGCCAGUCCAGUUCCCUACGACCCUGUGCCAAAUCCUGAGGCAAGAAUUUCUCUCAUUCAUUGAUCACCGAGAUACUCGAUCUCAAUUGCAAUAGAUUAGUUAGCAGUUAGUACACUCACUUCUCUUCGGUUGUUGCUAAUUAGUAUAGUACUCUAUUUGUGGUUGGUACUAUGUACAGUUUUAUUAUGCCAAUAUAUGCUAACCAAAUAAAUGCUCAUAUUUCCUACAUUUUGAUUUAUCAUUUGUCCAGGUAGAAUUGAUUGAACCUGCCGUGAAGGGAACACUUAAUGUACUUAAAGCAUGCCUUGAAGCAAAAGUCAAGCGAGUUGUUUUCGUGUCAUCUGCAGCUUCUCUUGUCAUGAAUCCUAAGUGGUCUCAAGGCCAAGUGUUGAAUGAAACUUGUUGGUCAGACAAGGAAUACUGCAGAAGUACUAAGGUAUUCCAUUAACAUAUAUAUGUGAUUGUAGUUCUAGAAUGAACUCAUAAUUUUGGUGAUCAAUGCAAUGCACAACUUUCCUUUUAGGAUCCAGUUAGGAGUGUUGAUUCUUCACCGAGGAUACCAAGAGAAAAGGACUUCCAGGGAUUAUGUUUUAAUUCCCCAAGAAAUAUCGAACAAUUAGAAAUAAAGGAAAGGAAAGUGUAUUAUUUACUCUAUAGUGACGAAAAACCGUAGAGUUAGAAAAUAUUAAAACAAUAACAAUAAUCUUCACUAAAACAGGAAAAGGGAAAGAAUGGAAUUUGCCAAUGACGGUAAGUUUUGAGAUUGACUUUCAAAAUGAUAAACCGCACACAUUUCAUUAUCAUAACAAACUAUUUUCGAAACUGAAAUUAAAAUUCAUUCUAUAAUGGUCAAAUCAUGUUUUUCAAUAGUUCUAUGCAAUGAAAAAAAUAUAUAUUGAAUAUCAUCUCGUGCGGUUCUUGAACUUUUACUCAUAGUUUAUCCAGCAUUUUCACUUUUGGUAGAGAUUUGAAAUGGUGCAAAUCCAUUUAGUGUGAUGAUAUCAUCUAGCUAUUCAUUCUGCAACAUUGCACUCGUAAAGUUAUUUCAGUGUGAUUGUGAGUGUUUCGACUAUCUAAUUAUUUCUUUAAUCUUUCAGAAUUGGUAUUGUCUUUCAAAAACUGAAGCAGAAUAUGAAGCCCUGGAGUAUGCAAGAAUAAAUGGGCUUGACUUGGUAACUGUUUGUCCUACACUUAUUAUGGGGCCAAUUCUGCAGUCCACUGUAAAUGCAAGUACCUUGGUCCUCAUCAAGCUUUUGAAGGGUACUUACUUUUGACAUAACCACUUGAUGCUUAAUUAAAUCCCUAAUUAAAUCCCUUGCUUUGUUAGAAAACUUAAAUCCAUUUCUUUAGAAUCAAGGGUUUUCACAAAUAAACCCCUAUAAAACUCCAUUUCACAGUUAAAACUUUAUAGGUCAGGGAUUUGUUUUCUAUAAUUUGAUUCUUGAAAUUUUUCUUACUACCAUUAACAGUUACAUGCUUUUCAUAAUUAUGUAUAAAAUCUACAUAUGUUUAGAUAGAGAGGUAGGUGGGGUUGUAAACUCAUCCUUUGGUAAUUGUCUAUUGUAGGUGUUUAUGCAUUUGGCUCCAUGUUGAUCUCUAUGACCCUGGAUCCAGGUUUAUCCCCCAGUCAUGAAUAUUCAUAUUUACUAAUUUAAUAUUGUCUCCUCGCAGAAGGGUAUGAGUCACUGGAAAACAAGCUGCGGAUGAUAGUUGAUGUGCGGGAUGUAGCUGAAGCAGUCAUUAUGGUGUAUGAGAAGCCUGAGGCUGAAGGAAGAUACAUAUGCACCGCUCACAAUAUCAAGACGACAGAUCUGGUUGAAGAGCUGAAGAGCAUUUAUCCUAAUUACAGUUAUCCUAAGAAGUAAGGUUUCUCUUCAACCUAUACUUGGUAACUAGAAUGGAGAGAUUUUCAAAUGAGUUAUGUAUAUAGCGUUAUUGAUCAUCGAUGUCAUCCAAUGCAUAUUAAGCAGAAUGGACAGGGAAUCUUGUUGUAAUGGUUUUCCCUUUAAACUAAUUUUAUGAAUUUGGAUUAUACAUGUAUAUUGGCAGCUUUGUUGAAGUAGAAGAACAACCAAGGUUGAGCUCGGAGAAACUUCAGAGGCUGGGUUUGAGUUUCCGACCAUUGAAAGAGACGCUUACUGGCUCAGUUGAAAGCUACAAAGAGGCUGGACUGCUCUGAUACUGAAAACAUCUCAGAGCGUGCUCUACGAAGCUAACUACAUUGUUUGAAGUUACACAUCCCACGAUGGAAGAGGAAAAUUUGGCUU
RNAcentral lists this long non-coding RNA (30343 nucleotides) under Malus domestica (apple). RNAcentral's name for it is "long non-coding RNA (MDOM_LNC005444)". The record is from RNAcentral. Lineage: Eukaryota; Viridiplantae; Streptophyta; Magnoliopsida; Rosales; Rosaceae.